CCUACGGGUGGCAGCAGUGAGGAAUAUUGGUCAAUGGACGUAAGUCUGAACCAGCCAUGCCGCGUGCAGGAAGACGGAUCUAUGGUUUGUAAACUUCUUUUGUAGGGGAGUAAAGGUAGCCACGCGUGUAUAUUUGCAUGUACCCUACGAAUAAGCAUCGGCUAACUCCGUGCCAGCAGCCGCGGUAAUACGGAGGAUUCAAGCGUUAUCCGGAUUUAUUGGGUUUAAAGGGAGCGUAGAUGGGUUGUUAAGUCAGUUGUGAAAGUUUGCGGCUCAACCGUAAAAUUGCAGUUGAUACUGGCAGUCUGGAGUGAAGUUGAGGUAGGCGGAAUUCGUGGUGUAGCGGUGAAAUGCUUAGAUAUCGCGAGGAAC
Molecule: ribosomal RNA, 372 nt
Filed under: uncultured bacterium
Lineage: Bacteria
Description: partial 16S ribosomal RNA
Rfam family: Bacterial small subunit ribosomal RNA
Source: RNAcentral